UGGGCAUGCCGCGACUGGCGUUCGAGGUGGACCACCACCGGGGAGCGGCGCACACAGGGAUGAGCCGUACGCCUGGGCUCGAUCA
This 85-nucleotide non-coding RNA is filed under the name Micrococcales bacterium. RNAcentral's name for it is "ZTP sequence". It matches the Rfam family "ZMP/ZTP riboswitch aptamer (pfl RNA motif)". From Rfam's summary of the family: Previously known as pfl RNA. ZMP is also known as AICAR. Lineage: Bacteria; Bacillati; Actinomycetota; Actinomycetes; Micrococcales. The record is from RNAcentral.